This 301-nucleotide ribosomal RNA is filed under the name uncultured bacterium. RNAcentral describes it as "partial 16S ribosomal RNA". It matches the Rfam family "Bacterial small subunit ribosomal RNA", at positions 509 to 807 of the family's 1533-position model. The record is from RNAcentral.
CAGCAGCCGCGGGAAUACGUAGGGUGCAAGCGUUAAUCGGAAUUACUGGGCGUAAAGCGUGCGCAGGCGGUUAUAUAAGUCAGAUGUGAAAUCCCAGGGCUCAACCCUGGACAGGCGGUGGAAACUACCAAGCUGGAGUACGGUAGGGGCAGAGGGAAUUUCCGAUGGAGCGGUGAAAUGCGUUGAGAUCGGAAAGAACACCAACGGAGAAAGCACUCUGCUGGGCCGACACUGACACUGGGAGACGAAAGCUAGGGGAGCAAAUGGGAUUAGAUACCCCGGUAGUCCCUGUCUCUUAUAC